RNAcentral lists this long non-coding RNA (579 nucleotides) under Homo sapiens (human). RNAcentral's name for it is "MAMDC2 antisense RNA 1". The record is from RNAcentral. Lineage: Eukaryota; Metazoa; Chordata; Mammalia; Primates; Hominidae.
AAAGUACCUGGACCUCUAUGCCCAUGCUUCUAGCAGCCAGCCUCCUAAAAUACCUCUAGUUGAAGCCAAAGUUAGAAUCCUUCUACGAAACUACAGGAUUAAAAUGGAAUGGUUACAUGACCCAGGCUUGACCAAUCAGAUCAUCCAAACCCUUUGCCACAGUGAUUGGUCCAGGGAUACAUGCAUGAGCCAGCUCAGGUGGCAUUGUAUUAUGCGCCAAGAGUGAACCAGAUAGAGGAAGUUGCUCCUUAAGCUUGCAGGUCUGAAAGAACAAGGAAUUGCCUCUCUUCAAAGAUAAGAAGUCCAGCCACUUCUUUAAUUUAUCGGAUUAUAAGGCCUAAGCCACACUCAUCUUGUGGAUGACACUGGAGCUGUGACAGUCUGUUCUGUCCAGGCAGGGUGUCUUUUAUUUUUAUUGGAAAUAAGAUUAUCACAGCCCUUUGAGAGCUUCUGUGUCUCAACAUCAGAAAAUCAUCCUAGAUCCAUACUUGUACACAACAGUCUGUGCCAGUGAGAUUCAUUCUUUUGGGAGCUCUGCUAAUAAUGCACGAAUUGCUGGCUGUUGAUACUCUUUCUCAU